GGAGGGAUACAACAAAGUAGCGAAACACAGUGGUAUCAGAAGCACACAAAAAAAUAUCAGUACAGAAAGUUAUAAUAGCAAAACUACAUAUUAGCAGAAACACAAUGUGUACUACUUAGGUAACAUUAGAAAUUAACAGAAAAACAAUAGAUGUUCAAGUUGAUGUCAAAUGCCAUGCAGCCCAUAUUCUUCGGUCCACCAAGUUGAUUAGAGAAAUAAGCCUGCUGUGAUACUAAAACAUUAACAUCAGCUAAGGAUGAAAACAGUAUUUUGGAAGUAUGAGAUAUUGACCGAUUUAUUGAAAAGUAACGAAUUUUUGUGGGGGUGGUAAAUGAGUGAUUAUGAUCUAAAUUUACAAAAUCAGUGACCCACUGAUCAGACCUGUCUAUUCUUUUAAAUUUGAUACUUGCCAAACAACCACAUCUAAAAACACUAUUCUUCCGUCUAUUACCGUUGGUUGGUGGAAGUAUUAGAUUGGGACUGCCUAGUUUAGAACACAACAACAUUUUCAAUACAAAAAUUUUAUGACCAGUUUGUUUGUCCAAUAUAUUAUGCGUCGAUCUUAAAUGAACAGAAAAUCCGGUAGACGAUGCGAAAUCGUAAUAGGAUUGAACAGCUAUUUUAUACGAAGGAAAAACCUCACCUACAAUAGGGAAUGGUUUACUGGAUUGACUGUAACCAGAAGAUCCAUUUUCAUUAUUAGGAGAUGUUGAAUAUCCACUAGUAGAGGAAAAUUUUCUUUUCAAAUGAUUGUCAGGGGUUUUAGCAGUAUCGCAACUUACAUUAUCGAAAUGAGCAGGAAUUUAAACAGAGGAAUCCACGAUAUCAGCAGAGGCGGAUUGAACAUUUUCUGAAUCAAAAAAAUUACAGCGUACGUUAUCAGGAUCCAAGGAACGACAAACAUUGACACUGGAAUCUAUACGAUUAACAGUGGUCUGACAAUGAGGAGAAUUGAAUUGCUAAUUUAUACUAUUUGGUAUUUUAGUAGUUCCGUAACUCAUAUUAGCGGAGGAUUCCUUAAUUUCAGCAGAGGUGCAUUGGACAAAAUCUGGAUGAACAAUGUUGCUUGCAGGGGCAUCAAGAUCCAAGGGCGUUGAAAAACCAACGUUGGAAGGUUUAGUAUUGGCAUUUGUGUGACAUUGAGGAGAAUUAAAAUGAAAUUUCAAGCUAACGUUGCAAGAUGUAUUUGUGUAAUCGUAUAUAAACUGUGGUGAACGAUAUAGAGGAGGGGUCACAAAAAUUGAAUUGGUGUUGGGGGAAACUUGCAGGCUGGUAGGUCGAUGUUGAUUGCCAAAUGAUAUUGGAGAAGCCAUUAUAUGCUAUGGAGGAAGAAAAUAAACAUUCAAUGUAACAAAAGUUCUUUUAGACGGAGAUUUGACAAUCAACUACAGAAAAUUUGAAAAAGUGAUAGACGGAAACAAUUUUAGAUGGAAGGAAAGAAAGAAAGAGUGUAAGAGGUAGAAAAGAAAUUACAAGCAGAAAUCGUUAAAAAUUCUGACAAGGAAGGAGAGGGGAUGGAGGUACGACGGAGGGAAAAAAUCCGACAGGGAAGGAGGGGGGACGGAGAUACAAAAAUGGAAUGUUCGAUAGAAAGGUAGAAAUGGAAAAUGAUGACAGCUUUAAAAAAAAAUUCCAAAUAAAAAAAUGUAAUAAAAUGAAUGUUACGUGAGUAAUGGAAGGAUUAAUGAAAAUGGAAUAAAAUAAUUGAGAAAAUGGAAAAAGAUGGCUUGUUGCAACAGGUAAAUAACGGACGGCGAUGAUUGGUCCGAAAAAACGAAGGGCAGAAAUUAAGUUCUCACGUAAGAACCCUUCUUAACUGAUAUUUUUUGUAAAAAUAUAAGCCCAAAGUCAACCUUUGGAUGUAUAUACUUCUCUACAGAUAUAGAGCUGUCAACCUUUGGAUGUAUAUAUCUUUUCUACAGAUAUAGAGCUGUCAAUCUUUGGAUGAUAUAUCAAAGUCAGAUAAUAAUAUAAUAUAUUAUCGGAUGAUAUAUCAAAGUCAGAUAAUAAUAUAAUAUAUUAUCGAAUAAAUUUAAGUGAAAAUGUACAAAAUAAAAUUCGAACCGUAAACCUCAAAAACCUUAAUAAUCCCUGAGACCAAUAAGCCAACCUUGAUAUUCAGUUUUUGGACUAAUUUAGCUUUAAUAUAUAUAUAUAGGAUGCGUUUUUUGGAACAUCGGAUCUCGCCAUCCACAUAGCAAGAACUAAUCUCGUCGUCCAUGUAGCAUGUAUAAAUACAUCCGAUCUUGCGAGUUCCGGAACGCGCAAUUUUGCGGUUCUCCGACUCCAACAUCGCUAGUCGUGGAAUCCGCGGUCCACGACUCCGAUAUCGCGACGUGCUGAUUCCGUGAUCCGGAACACGUGAUUCCGGACAUCAGAACGACAUCACGUGAUGUUGUUCCCUACAUUCCGCACCCAGUUUCAGGUGCAGAAAUCUGUGUGUAUAUAUAUAUAUCUUAUUAUUUUUAUUUUUACUGUAUAUUACUAAUUACUAUAUUAAUAAAAUAAUUAGUUUAUAUAUAUAUUAAAUAUAUAGGUUAGAAACCAAGGCGACCGGGUCGGGUUUUAGGUCGAUCCGAAUCCGCCCCUGUUUUAGAUCGGGAGACAAAACUGAUCUGGAUUCCGGACCCUAGGUGAGAAUGAUACAUAGAAAUUGAAAAUGAAUAUUUAAAAUUAAAAAAACAAAAUCCAAAACAAAAGAGUUUUAAAAAAAUACUCAUUCUUCAUUGCUAAGCCGGUAUGCAAUUUCAAUCCUAACCGGAACGGCAUUUGCAAGCCGAUACCUCAUUGCGACGGUGAACGACAUCCGAUCGUUCUUCCCCAACCGUCGAACCGGAAUGUCGGUACCGGAACCGUGAUGGGUUCCAUAAGAGAUUCGCGAUCUGAACAAUCGGCACCUAACCUAGGAGGAACUGCAGCAAAAACGUGCUUUAAAAAAAAU
This 2941-nucleotide long non-coding RNA is filed under the name Zostera marina. RNAcentral's name for it is "long non-coding RNA (ZMAR_LNC001413)". Lineage: Eukaryota; Viridiplantae; Streptophyta; Magnoliopsida; Alismatales; Zosteraceae. The record is from RNAcentral.